AGAAAAUCUAAUUUAAUCUUUUCUUUUGUUUAUUUUAAUAAUAAUGUUUAUUGUUAGUAAUUUAAAUAGUUAAGAAAAAACUAAUUUACUUUGUCUAUAGUGAAUUGUUUUUUCCCAUCCAAACCAUAAAAGUUGAAGUUCUUAUCUCAGAAAAUAAUGGACUUCCAUUGCUUGGGGGUCCAUUUUACAUGCUCCUGACAUUAAUUGAAUUGAGCCUUUUUCAUUUUUUGUAAAAUGAGAGGCAGCUUAGGAAGUCUGGCUGAAGAUUCUAUUUGGGAAAACAUAUCUUCUGUAUGUUUCUGAACUUGCUAUAACUCCUCUGUGCUCUUCCUGUUUUCUGUUAAGCUCAAGGAAGAACAUACAGAAAUGGUAACAAAUGUAGAAACAGAAGAUGCCUUUUCUGAAGUGGAUUUUCAAUCACUUAACCUAAGAAGAAACCUCUUCACACAAAAUGUAAAAGGCCAAAUUGAAUUGGUAUCAGGAACAUGUCAAAUGGGGCAAGCAGUGAAUAUUAGUUAUUUUCUUGAUAAGAAAAAUUCAAUUUGCAUGGUGUGGAUGGGAAACAAAAGAUUUAUCAUAG
This 580-nucleotide long non-coding RNA is filed under the name Androctonus crassicauda. The record is from RNAcentral. Lineage: Eukaryota; Metazoa; Arthropoda; Arachnida; Scorpiones; Buthidae.